This 69-nucleotide transfer RNA is filed under the name Rattus norvegicus (Norway rat). It matches the Rfam family "tRNA". From Rfam's summary of the family: Transfer RNA (tRNA) molecules are approximately 80 nucleotides in length. Their secondary structure includes four short double-helical elements and three loops (D, anti-codon, and T loops). Further hydrogen bonds mediate the characteristic L-shaped molecular structure. tRNAs have two regions of fundamental functional importance: the anti-codon, which is responsible for specific mRNA codon recognition, and the 3' end, to which the tRNAs corresponding amino acid is attached (by aminoacyl-tRNA synthetases). tRNAs cope with the degeneracy of the genetic code in two manners: having more than one tRNA (with a specific anti-codon) for a particular amino acid; and 'wobble' base-pairing, i.e. permitting non-standard base-pairing at the 3rd anti-codon position. Lineage: Eukaryota; Metazoa; Chordata; Mammalia; Rodentia; Muridae. The record is from Rfam by way of RNAcentral.
GGGGAUUUAGCUCAGUGGUAGAGCGCUUGCCUAGCAAGCGCAAGGCCCUGGGUUCGUACCUCAGCUCCA